AGAGUUUGAUCCUGGCUCAGGACGAACGCUGGCGGCGUGCCUAAUACAUGCAAGUCGAGCGGAGUUACGGAGGAGCUUGCUCCGAAGUAACUUAGCGGCGGACGGGUGAGUAACACGUAGGCAACCUGCCCGUAAGACCGGGAUAACCCACGGAAACGUGAGCUAAGACCGGAUAAUCGGUUUCUUCGCAUGAAGAGACC
This 200-nucleotide ribosomal RNA is filed under the name uncultured bacterium. RNAcentral describes it as "partial 16S ribosomal RNA". It matches the Rfam family "Bacterial small subunit ribosomal RNA", at positions 8 to 200 of the family's 1533-position model. The record is from RNAcentral.